GACGAACGCUGGCGGCGUGGAUUAGGCAUGCAAGUCGAACGGUAUCAUCCUUUCGGGGGUGAGAGAGUGGCGAACUGGUGAGUAACACGUAGGUUAUCUACCCUCAAGACGGGGACAACCCAGGGAAACUUGGGCUAAUACCGGAUGUGAGCAACUUUUAGUUGUUUGAAAGGUGGCGUAAGCUGUCGCUUGGGGAUGAGCCUGCGUCCUAUUAGUUAGUUGGUGAGGUAACGGCUCACCUAGGCAAUGAUAGGUAGGCGGCCUUAACGGGUGGUCGCCCACACUGGGAUUGAGAUACGGCCCAGACUCCUACGGGAGGCAGCAGUCGAGAAUAGUCUACAAUGGUCGGAAGACUGAUAGUGCGACGCCGCGUGAACGAUGAAUCCCUUCGGGGUUAAAGUUCUUUUAUAUGUGAGCAGUGCUUCUUAUAUUAACAGUAUGGGGAGAGAGAUAUUAGCAUAUGAAUAAGCAACGGCUAACUCCGUGCCAGCAGCCGCGGUAAACA
Molecule: ribosomal RNA, 505 nt
Filed under: uncultured bacterium
Lineage: Bacteria
Description: bacterial SSU rRNA
Rfam family: Bacterial small subunit ribosomal RNA
Source: RNAcentral